Molecule: ribosomal RNA, 468 nt
Filed under: uncultured bacterium
Lineage: Bacteria
Description: partial 16S ribosomal RNA
Rfam family: Bacterial small subunit ribosomal RNA
Source: RNAcentral
GACGAACGCUGGCGGCGUGCUUAACACAUGCAAGUCGAACGGAAAGGCCCUGCUUUUGUGGGGUGCUCGAGUGGCGAACGGGUGAGUAACACGUGAGUAACCUGCCCUUGACUUUGGGAUAACUUCAGGAAACUGGGGCUAAUACCGGAUAGGAGCUCCUGCUGCAUGGUGGGGGUUGGAAAGUUUCGGCGGUUGGGGAUGGACUCGCGGCUUAUCAGCUUGUUGGUGGGGUAGUGGCUUACCAAGGCUUUGACGGGUAGCCGGCCUGAGAGGGUGACCGGCCACAUUGGGACUGAGAUGCGGCACAGACUCCUACGGGAGGCAGCAGUGGGGAAGAUUGCACAAUGGGCGGAAGCCUGAUGCAGCAACGCCGCGUGCGGGAUGACGGCCUUCGGGUUGUAAACCGCUUUCGCCUGUGACGAAGCGUGAGUGACGGUAAUGGGUAAAGAGGCACCGGCUAACUACGUG